Molecule: transfer RNA, 68 nt
Filed under: Diadegma semiclausum
Lineage: Eukaryota; Metazoa; Arthropoda; Insecta; Hymenoptera; Ichneumonidae
Also listed under: 1 other name
Description: tRNA-Ser
Source: RNAcentral
AAUUAAAAUAAGUAUGAACUAAAGAAAUUUCUAACUUCUAAAAUUAUGGUUAAAAUCCAUUUUUAUUU